UCAUGGCUCAGGAUGAACGCUGGCGGCGUGCCUAAUACAUGCAAGUCGAGCGAACGGACGAGAAGCUUGCUUCUCUGAUGUUAGCGGCGGACGGGUGAGUAACACGUGGAUAACCUACCUAUAAGACUGGGAUAACUUCGGGAAACCGGAGCUAAUACCGGAUAAUAUUUGAACCGCAUGGUUCAAAAGUGAAAGACGGUCUUGCUGUCACUUAUAGAUGGAUCCGCGCUGCAUUAGCUAGUUGGUAAGGUAACGGCUUACCAAGGCAACGAUGCAUAGCCGACCUGAGAGGGUGAUCGGCCACACUGGAACUGAGACACGGUCCAGACUCCUACGGGAGGCAGCAGUAGGGAAUCUUCCGCAAUGGGCGAAAGCCUGACGGAGCAACGCCGCGUGAGUGAUGAAGGUCUUCGGAUCGUAAAACUCUGUUAUUAGGGAAGAACAUAUGUGUAAGUAACUGUGCACAUCUUGACGGUACCUAAUCAGAAAGCCACGGCUAACUACGUGCCAGCAGCCGCGGUAAUACGUAGGUGGCAAGCGUUAUCCGGAAUUAUUGGGCGUAAAGCGCGCGUAGGCGGUUUUUUAAGUCUGAUGUGAAAGCCCACGGCUCAACCGUGGAGGGUCAUUGGAAACUGGAAAACUUGAGUGCAGAAGAGGAAAGUGGAAUUCCAUGUGUAGCGGUGAAAUGCGCAGAGAUAUGGAGGAACACCAGUGGCGAAGGCGACUUUCUGGUCUGUAACUGACGCUGAUGUGCGAAAGCGUGGGGAUCAAACAGGAUUAGAUACCCUGGUAGUCCACGCCGUAAACGAUGAGUGCUAAGUGUUAGGGGGUUUCCGCCCCUUAGUGCUGCAGCUAACGCAUUAAGCACUCCGCCUGGGGAGUACGACCGCAAGGUUGAAACUCAAAGGAAUUGACGGGGACCCGCACAAGCGGUGGAGCAUGKGGUUUAAUUCGAAGCAACGCGAAGAACCUUACCAAAUCUUGACAUCCUUUGACAACUCUAGAGAUAGAGCYUUCCCCUUCGGGGGACAAAGUGACAGGUGGUGCAUGGUUGUCGUCAGCUCGUGUCGUGAGAUGUUGGGUUAAGUCCCGCAACGAGCGCAACCCUUAAGCUUAGUUGCCAUCAUUAAGUUGGGCACUCUAAGUUGACUGCCGGUGACAAACCGGAGGAAGGUGGGGAUGACGUCAAAUCAUCAUGCCCCUUAUGAUUUGGGCUACACACGUGCUACAAUGGACAAUACAAAGGGCAGCGAAACCGCGAGGUCAAGCAAAUCCCAUAAAGUUGUUCUCAGUUCGGAUUGUAGUCUGCAACUCGACUACAUGAAGCUGGAAUCGCUAGUAAUCGUAGAUCAGCAUGCUACGGUGAAUACGUUCCCGGGUCUUGUACACACCGCCCGUCACACCACGAGAGUUUGUAACACCCGAAGCCGGUGGAGUAACCUUUUAGGAGCUAGCCGUCGAAGGUGGGACAAAUGAUUGGGGUGAAGUCGUAACAAGGUAACCA
RNAcentral lists this ribosomal RNA (1504 nucleotides) under Staphylococcus aureus. Its description in RNAcentral is "partial 16S ribosomal RNA". It matches the Rfam family "Bacterial small subunit ribosomal RNA". Lineage: Bacteria; Bacillati; Bacillota; Bacilli; Caryophanales; Staphylococcaceae. The record is from RNAcentral.